CCUACGGGUGGCAGCAGUGGGGAAUAUUGGGCAAUGGACGCAAGUCUGACCCAGCAACGCCGCGUGAAGGAAGAAGGCUUUCGGGUUGUAAACUUCUUUUAAGGGGGAAGAGCAGAAGACGGUACCCCUUGAAUAAGCCACGGCUAACUACGUGCCAGCAGCCGCGGUAAUACGUAGGUGGCAAGCGUUAUCCGGAUUUACUGGGUGUAAAGGGCGUGUAGGCGGGACUGCAAGUCAGAUGUGAAAAUUAUGGGCUCAACCCAUAACCUGCAUUUGAAACUGUAGUUCUUGAGUGAUGGAGAGGCAGGCGGAAUUCCGUGUGUAGCGGUGAAAUGCGUAGAUAUACGGAGGAACACCAGUGGCGAAGGCGGCCUGCUGGACAUUAACUGACGCUGAGGCGCGAAAGCGUGGGGAGCAAACAGGAUUAGAUACCCCAGUAGUC
Molecule: ribosomal RNA, 442 nt
Filed under: uncultured bacterium
Lineage: Bacteria
Description: partial 16S ribosomal RNA
Rfam family: Bacterial small subunit ribosomal RNA
Source: RNAcentral